This 442-nucleotide ribosomal RNA is filed under the name uncultured bacterium. RNAcentral describes it as "bacterial SSU rRNA". It matches the Rfam family "Bacterial small subunit ribosomal RNA", at positions 29 to 521 of the family's 1533-position model. The record is from RNAcentral.
AACGAACGCUGGCGGCAUGCCUAACACAUGCAAGUCGAACGAGACCUUCGGGUCUAGUGGCGCACGGGUGCGUAACGCGUGGGAAUCUGCCCUUGGGUUCGGAAUAACAGUUGGAAACGACUGCUAAUACCGGAUGAUGACGUAAGUCCAAAGAUUUAUCGCCCAAGGAUGAGCCCGCGUAGGAUUAGCUAGUUGGUGAGGUAAAGGCUCACCAAGGCGACGAUCCUUAGCUGGUCUGAGAGGAUGAUCAGCCACACUGGGACUGAGACACGGCCCAGACUCCUACGGGAGGCAGCAGUGGGAAUAUUGGACAAUGGGCGAAAGCCUGAUCCAGCAAUGCCGCGUGAGUGAUGAAGGCCUAGGUUGUAAGCUNUUUACCCGGGAUGAUAAUGACAGUACCGGGAGAAUAAGCUCCGGCUAACUCCGUGCCAGCAGCCGCGGU